ACGGCUCAGUAACACGUGGUCAACAUACCCAGAGGACGUGGAUAACCUCGGGAAACUGAGGAUAAACCGCGAUAGACCAUAAUGUCUGGAAUGAUUUAUGGUUCAAAUCUAUAUGGCCUCUGGAUUGGACUGCGGCCGAUCAGGCUGUUGGUGAGGUAAUGGCCCACCAAACCUGAAACCGGUACGGGCUCUGAGAGGAGAAGCCCGGAGAUGGGCACUGAGACAAGGGCCCAGGCCCUAUGGGGCGCAGCAGGCGCGAAACCUUUGCAAUAGGCGAAAGCCUGACAAGGUUACUCUGAGUGAUCUCCGCUAAGGAAAUCUUUUGACACCUCUAAAAAUGGUGUAGAAUAAGGGGUGGGCAAGCCUGGUGUCAGCCGCCGCGGUAAUACCAGCACCCCGAGUGGUCGGGACGAUUAUUGGGCCUAAAGCAUCCGUAGCCGGUUCUUUAAGUCCUCCGUUAAAUCCACCUGCUUAACAGAUGGGCUGCGGAGGAUACUAUAGAGCUAGGAGGCGGGAGAGGCAAGCGGUACUCAGUGGGUAGGGGUAAAAUCCGUUGAUCCAUUGAAGACCACCAGUGGCGAAGACGGCUUGCCAGAACGCGCUCGACGGUGAGGGAUGAAAGCUGGGGGAGCAAACCGGAUUAGAUACCCGGGUAGUCCCAGCUGUAAACGAUGCAGACUCGGUGAUGAACAGGCUUCGUGCCUGUUCAGUGCCGCAGGGAAGCCGUUAAGUCUGCCGCCUGGGGGAGUACGGUCGCAAGACUGAAACUUAAAGGAAUUGGCGGGGGAG
This 789-nucleotide ribosomal RNA is filed under the name uncultured archaeon. RNAcentral's name for it is "bacterial SSU rRNA". It matches the Rfam family "Archaeal small subunit ribosomal RNA", at positions 85 to 876 of the family's 1478-position model. The record is from RNAcentral.